AUUGAACGCUGGCGGCAGGCCUAACACAUGCAAGUCGAGCGAGCGGCGGACGGGUGCGUACUGUCUGGGAAACUGCCUGAUGGAGGGGGAUAACUACUGGAAACGGUAGCUAAUACCGCAUACCAUCAGAUGUGCCCAGAUGGGAUUAGGUAGUAGGUGGGGUAACGGCGCACCAAGGCGAGGAUCUGUAGCGGGUCUGAGAGGAUGAUCCGCCACACUGGGACUGAGGCACGGCCAAGACGCCUAAGGGAGGCAGCAGUGGGGAAUAUUGGAAAAUGGGGGGAACCCUGAUCCAGCCAUGCCGCGUGUGUGAAGAAGGCCUUAUGGUUGUAAAGCACUUUAAGCGAGGAGGCGUUACUCGCAGAGUAAGCACCGGCUAACUCAGUGCCAGCAGCCGCGGUAAUUC
RNAcentral lists this ribosomal RNA (406 nucleotides) under uncultured bacterium. RNAcentral describes it as "partial 16S ribosomal RNA". It matches the Rfam family "Bacterial small subunit ribosomal RNA", at positions 29 to 526 of the family's 1533-position model. The record is from RNAcentral.